GACAGAGGUGCCGAGCGUUAGGCGGAAUUACUGGGCGUAAAGCGCACGUAGGCGGUCUUUUAAGUCGGGGGUGAAAUCCUGGAGCUCAACUCCAGAACUGCCUUCGAUACUGGAAGACUUGAGUCCGGGAGAGGUGAGUGGAACUGCGAGUGUAGAGGUGAAAUUCGUAGAUAUUCGCAAGAACACCAGUGGCGAAGGCGGCUCACUGGCCCGGUACUGACGCUGAGGUGCGAAAGCGUGGGGAGCAAACAGG
Molecule: ribosomal RNA, 253 nt
Filed under: uncultured bacterium
Lineage: Bacteria
Description: partial 16S ribosomal RNA
Rfam family: Bacterial small subunit ribosomal RNA
Source: RNAcentral